GUGAACAGGCUUUGAAAUCCAGAGACAUGGCCGAUUAGGUUUAGAGAUGCAUAGUAAGUUACUAAGUAAAGAAUAAUAACGUGAGACGGCAGCUCAAGGAAUAUAAGAAAAUGAUAUAUGAAGAGGAAGACGAAGAAAUCGAAGAAGAUAAUAACAAUGCGAGACGGCAGCAUGGCCAAAGAAAACAUAAGUUGAUGUAUGAUUAUGAAUAUGAACAAGAAGACGAAGAAAACGACGUUGCAGACGAAAUAGGUCAAUACGGAUUGAGAAAACAGCCUGAUGUCGGUUAUAAGAGAAUGUGAAAUAUUGAAUCAGAGGAUAGCGACGAUUACGAGGAAAAGGAUUUCAAUAUCAUGGACGGUGUAGAUAUAGGCUGUGGAGGGUGCCCGAUGUUUGAUUCGAAUUAAAGACGAGAAAGAUGUAAACGUAUGCUGCUCAAAAGCCAUUAUAACGGGGAUUUCAAUGUUAGAGGAUAAAUGAAACAAAUCUAGAUGUGAUAAAAUUAGACGACGUCAUUAUUAUCAGCAACAAGAGACUGAACAAUUAUUAUAAGGGCUAGGGUAGAUAAGGGACUUUGUGGGAUAAAUGAUUAUUAAGCGUUUUCAGGAUGUUCUACCCGAAUAUCAAAUAAUUUUGAUUUCUCGGGACAAUCUUUGCUCAGUAAUUUUUAGUGGGGAGAAAAACUGGUUUAUCUAUACCACCUCGAUAAUCACUACGAUUAAUUAACAAAACUAACAGCCAUUUUUAAAGUGAACAAUUUUUGUGUAAGGGAUAUAAUAAUAACAAUUAAUAACUGCAAAUUCAUUUGCGAAUUAUGCCAU
This is a long non-coding RNA of Anneissia japonica, 821 nucleotides long. RefSeq lists it as uncharacterized. The record is from RefSeq and is a predicted model, not a curated record. The transcript is spliced from 3 exons. NCBI's taxonomy places the organism in Eukaryota, Metazoa, Echinodermata, Crinoidea, Comatulida, Comatulidae.